CCCUUAGAUGUUCUGGGCCGCACGCGCGCUACACUGACGAAUGCAACGAGCUUAUAACCUUGUCCGAAAGGUCUGGGUAAUCUCCAAAUUUCGUCGUGAUGGGGAUAGAUUAUUGCAAUUAUUAAUCUUCAACGAGGAAUGCCUAGUAAGCGCAAGUCAUCAGCUUGCGUUGAUUACGUCCCUGCCCUUUGUACACACCGCCCGUCGCUCCUACCGAUUGAAUGGUCCGGUGAAGCGUUCGGACCGUGGCCUUUGGACGGUUCGCCGUCUGUUGGCUGCGGGAAGUUCGUUAAACCUUAUCAUUUAGAGGAAGGAGAANUCGUAGCA
RNAcentral lists this ribosomal RNA (327 nucleotides) under uncultured eukaryote. RNAcentral's name for it is "partial 18S ribosomal RNA". It matches the Rfam family "Eukaryotic small subunit ribosomal RNA", at positions 1470 to 1796 of the family's 1831-position model. The record is from RNAcentral.